AGAAGAGGCUCAUCAGUGAGAGGUGGAGUGGAAAGCCAUAAAGCCUGAUAUAUAGAAGCUAAAUGGCACAGCUGUGACUGAAUACCUAGGAAAGAGGUCUAUCAGAUCUCUUGAAUAUGCAGGAUGCCCUCGAGGCUUGCUCUUCUGAGAUGCUCCUCUGCUCAUUAGACCCUGAGCCCAAUCUACCUUUAAACUGUGCCCUGUCUCAAUCUGGUCUAAUGGUGUUUCAUACUAGAUCAAGAAAUCUGCAAGCUAAAGUAAAAACUGGUUCAGAAGAUGAGCCAUGCCUUGGAUAUGCAGUGAUUGUAGACAGAGCCCCCUUUGUGGAACCAUUUGCAUCCGCGUAUGGAAUAUGGAGCUAUGUAAGUACAGAAUGUGAUUUCUUCCUCCAUUGGUUUU
Meleagris gallopavo (turkey) is the source of this 399-nucleotide non-coding RNA. Lineage: Eukaryota; Metazoa; Chordata; Aves; Galliformes; Phasianidae. The record is from RefSeq and is a predicted model, not a curated record.